Molecule: long non-coding RNA, 1491 nt
Organism: Sapajus apella (tufted capuchin)
Lineage: Eukaryota; Metazoa; Chordata; Mammalia; Primates; Cebidae
Exons: 3
Source: RefSeq, a predicted model, not a curated record
CCACGCCACGCUGAGGUGAAGAUACGCAGGACGUCCUCUAAAGCAACUUCCGUGGGUGCCAGGUUAUGGGCUGGGGGCGGUGCUGACCUUGAGAGCGCGUAGGAGGCGCAGGCGCAGCACAGGUAAGUGGGCGGGCGGAGCGCAGUGGCUGCGUUUGCGAGGACCCUGAGGUGCCAAUUGAAGUCAGAAGAACAUCUACCAAGAGCAGAGAAACCAGGAAGAAAAUUCUGCCUGUUUAACACGUUCCAAUAUGGACGUUUUCCAUCUAGAUAUAUAUAUCAGAUGCAAAUAAGUGAAACCCCCAUAUACCUUUUAAUUUUGUGUUUUUUCCAAACUCUGUUCCCUUCGACUUUUUCUGCCUUUUUGUUUAAUUAUAAUGAGACAUCGUACUGGAGACAGGCUUGAAAUGGAUGUACAGAAUACUUUAAACCCAGAAAUUUGUCUCAUAACUUGGGGAUCCUUACUUAGGUUGUAGCUAUCAGUAAUUUUAUCCAGGAGGUCACUUUGUACCAUAGUGUGACAUUUUGUUACGAAAUUGGAAUUAGUAAGGGAAACUAAGAAGUUUUGGGAGAAAUAAAAAAGGUUGAGUAGGCAGACGUAGUUAUAGAUAUUAAGUUUUAUCCUCCUUAUCAAAGUACCUGGAGGGCGUGGUAUCCAAGCUAUAAAUGGCCCAAAGACUCGAGGAAUCGGAGUUCUCAGCCAUCUAAAAGAAGCAUGCACAGGGCAGUUGCUUUAUAUCAGGAAAGGGGACAGAGACUGAAUGCGUGAGGCUUUUUUGUUUGUUUGUUUUAUAAGUUUAAAUUUUGUUUUGUGGGGGGGCGAACAGCAUGACAAUUAAAGAAGAUCUAGGAAUCAUAAGUAUUGACAGAACAACUGGAGGGUAGGUGGAACUGGAGAAUAGUUUGUGAAACAUCUUGCUGAGGAUGAAUCCAGAACUUCCUGAAGGGUUCCUCUUCUGCUGUGUAGGGACAAGGUUGUAAAUAGACAAGCCACAGGGUAUUCUGCAAAUGCUAAGUGUGGUAGAGAGGGGCUGGAAUUGUCUGUUGGUGUAUCUGUGGGAGGCAGCUGCUAUCCUUGGAGAAGAAAACGUGGAGAAGCAGAGCAACUGGGGAACCUAAUUCUGACCAACAAGGAGGAAUUGCUUGGCUAAUUGGAAGUGACAGAAACCUUGGGAGAAAGCAACCACAUACCAAGGAUAAUUAUAAAAAGGUAACAUGGGCCCUAAAGGAUAGUGUCAAGAAACCUGAAACCCCAAAUGAGAUGAGACUUGCAAAAAAUGCUAAGGGAGGAUGAAGAACAGGCCUUUUAAAAUUCUGCUCAGAACCAGAAGAUGAUCAAGAAAGGGAAAAGCCCACUAGCAGCUUCUAGUGUAAGGUUAGAGCUGACAGAGAAAGAACUCCUUAAUUGUUAUUUGCUUCAUUCUCGACAAAGGAAACUAGAAAAGUGGGUUGACAUAAUAGAAAGAACAUGUGUUCAUGGAAUAAGGCAAAC